Long non-coding RNA from Poecile atricapillus (Black-capped chickadee), 1482 nucleotides. RefSeq lists it as uncharacterized. The transcript is spliced from 3 exons. The record is from RefSeq and is a predicted model, not a curated record. NCBI's taxonomy places the organism in Eukaryota, Metazoa, Chordata, Aves, Passeriformes, Paridae.
CAGGGGAGAAGAUUACACAGCUGGUUUCAUUAAUCACUACUACUCUGGUAAGCUGUGGGAAGCAGGAAGGAUCUGGGUCCUCUGUAAGCCAAAAUUCUUGAAGCUGGGAGAAUGAGGUAUUCUCUGGAGAGGCAAGGAAUCUUGGAGAACUGGAAACAGACUGAAUCAUAAAGGAGAAGAUCACUAUGACACCAAGGAGACAUACUUAAAUAGCAGAAUUACAUGAAGGAUUUAUAUUCAACUUGGUGAGCGAGACCAUUCCUUGAGAACGUGGGCUCAUUCUCCUGGAUUUGCAGAGGCUUGUUUUACUGGACUGGAGCCUUUUACAACUGUGUGUCCAAGUCUGCUCUAUGGAAUUGCAUGUUCACUCCUCACCUAAUGGAAAAAAAAUAACUGCCAGAAGGUGCAUUCCUCCUUUUGUAGGAUGGAAUGAGCUAUCCUCAGAAAGAUCUCACUUUCUAUUAUGGAAAGAGUGUAGAGAAUGAGAGUAGAUACAAUUCUGACUUGUGUGUGUUUAUAGGAGAACCAAGUGACCAUAGGUUUUGGAUGUAUGCAAAUCCAAAAAUCUUGUAAGCUGGCAAUAAAUGAAGUAAAAAGUUCAAGAGAUUUUGUUACCUAUUAAAAUGGGAUUGUCUGCCUCAGUGUUUAAAGAUUUUCUGUGAGAUUUAACUGAAGGACUGCAACCAAUUAGUUAAAGAUUAGACUAUGGACUAAACAGGGCUUAGGUCUUUUCAGUGUUGCUUGUCUCAGUGUUAAUUGCUUGUCCACAUUUUAAUUUCCUUCAGUGUAAAUAAUGAUGAUAAUGUAUAAAUCAAAAUGAUCUUCUGUAACGUAAUUCAGGAAGAAUUAUUGAUUGCUAGACUGUGUUUGGAUUGAACUACUUUUGACAAAUAGGAAUGUCAAGAUUUGUUUUCAUAAGACAAGUAGCUGAGCCUUUGAUAUCUGAUUUGAAGUAUUUGUCUAUAUAACACAUAUCAGUAAAGCAACUUGUAUCCAGUUUGUAGCUGAGAAACUGGCAUAUUUUAUGGCUGAUAUAAUUGAUUUAGAAACUGACUUACCAGAUUGUCCUAUGUACACUAGAGAGGAAUGGGGCUGCUGUAAUGUGCCAGGGUGGGGGAAGAAUGGAGACUUAUUCUUGGAAAUGUUCCGAUGUUUUGUAGAAGCGUUUAGAGAAGCCACAGGAAUGCCAGGAUUAAAAGCUUGAAUACAGAAUAAAAUCUUUAAGAGAUGGUGAUGGAUUUCUUAGUUCUUUUAUUAAGAUUACAUACUGAGCUGUAUUUAGUACAGGUUACCAUCAUUUCCAAAAGUUUCAGUCAAAUCUGAGAAGGGACUGAAUGAAAAGGGCUGUGAGAUGAAACUAAUUCUAAAAAGAAUAUGAAGAUUGGCUAAAACUUUUAGUCUUAUGAAAGAAUAAUAUGUGUUUGUUUAUAAGCUGUAUAAGAUCUUAGAUCCUAUACCCAAAUCUGUAUUUCUAUCAUGGUG